Molecule: ribosomal RNA, 260 nt
Filed under: uncultured bacterium
Lineage: Bacteria
Description: partial 16S ribosomal RNA
Rfam family: Bacterial small subunit ribosomal RNA
Source: RNAcentral
GGCGAACGGGUGAGUAACGCGUGAGGAACCUGCCUCAAAGAGGGGGACGAACAGUUGGAAACGACUGCUAAUACCGCAUAAGCCCACGGGUCGGCAUCGACCAGAGGAAAAGGAGCAAUCCGCUUUGAGAUGGCCUCGCGUCCGAUUAGCUAGUUGGUGAGGUAAUGGCCCACCAAGGCAACGAUCGGUAGCCGGACUGAGAGGUUGAACGGCCACAUUGGGACUGAGACACGGCCCAGACUCCUACGGGAGGCAGCAUG